This 489-nucleotide ribosomal RNA is filed under the name uncultured bacterium. RNAcentral describes it as "partial 16S ribosomal RNA". It matches the Rfam family "Bacterial small subunit ribosomal RNA", at positions 28 to 507 of the family's 1533-position model. The record is from RNAcentral.
GAUGAACGCUAGCUACAGGCUUAACACAUGCAAGUCGAGGGGCAGCAUGAACUUAGCUUGCUAAGUUUGAUGGCGACCGGCGCACGGGUGAGUAACACGUAUCCAACCUGCCGAUGACUCGGGGAUAGCCUUCCGAAAGAAAGACUAAUACCCGAUGGCAUAGUUCUUCCGCAUGGUAGAACUAUUAAAGAAUUUCGGUCAUCGAUGGGGAUGCGUUGCAUUAGGUUGUUGGAGGGGUAACGGACCACCAUGCCUUCGAUGGAUAGGGGUUCGGAGAGGAAGGUCCCCCAGAGUGGAACUGGCCCACGGGGCAAACUCCUACGGGAGGCAGCAGUGAGGAAGAUUGCUGAAUGGAAUAGUGUCUGAACCGGCCAAGUCGCGUGAAGGAUGACUGCCCUAUGGGUGGUAAACUUCGUUUAGUAGGGAAUAUAGUGAGGUACGUAUGCCUUUUUGAAUGUACUGUAUGAAUAAGGAUCGGCUAACUCCGUG